This 31-nucleotide non-coding RNA is filed under the name Mus musculus (house mouse). Lineage: Eukaryota; Metazoa; Chordata; Mammalia; Rodentia; Muridae. The record is from RNAcentral.
UNUGUACAUGGGUAGGUGCAGAUUCAUGUGU